Molecule: ribosomal RNA, 120 nt
Filed under: Amphiprion percula (orange clownfish)
Lineage: Eukaryota; Metazoa; Chordata; Actinopteri; Pomacentridae
Source: RNAcentral
GCUUGCGGCCACGCCAGCCUGAAUGCGGCCCGAUCUCGUCUGACCUCGGAAGCCAAGCAGUGUCGGGCCUGGUUAGUACCUGGAUGGGAGACCGCCUGGGAAUACCAGGUGCUGUAAGCU